Molecule: ribosomal RNA, 245 nt
Filed under: uncultured Aminivibrio sp.
Lineage: Bacteria; Thermotogati; Synergistota; Synergistia; Synergistales; Aminobacteriaceae
Description: partial 16S ribosomal RNA
Rfam family: Bacterial small subunit ribosomal RNA
Source: RNAcentral
UACGGAGGGUGCAAGCGUUGUCCGGAAUUACUGGGCGUAAAGGGCGCGCAGGCUGCGCGUCGAGUCGGCUGUGAAAGAUCCGGGCUCAACCCGGUGAAGCGGUCGAGACCGACGUGCUGGAGUGCUGCAGAGGCAAGUGGAAUUCCCGGUGUAGCGGUGAAAUGCGUAGAUAUCGGGAAGAACACCGGUGGCGAAGGCGACUUGCCGGGCAGCAACUGACGCUGAGGCGCGAAAGCCAGGGGAGC